This 231-nucleotide non-coding RNA is filed under the name Globicatella sp. RNAcentral's name for it is "T-box sequence". It matches the Rfam family "T-box leader". From Rfam's summary of the family: Uncharged tRNA acts as the effector for transcription antitermination of genes in the T-box leader family. T-boxes are found upstream of many aminoacyl-tRNA synthetase genes and some amino acid biosynthetic genes usually in Gram-positive bacteria. The anticodon of a specific tRNA base pairs to a specifier sequence within the T-box motif, and the NCCA acceptor tail of the tRNA base pairs to a conserved bulge in the T-box antiterminator hairpin. The record is from RNAcentral. Lineage: Bacteria; Bacillati; Bacillota; Bacilli; Lactobacillales; Aerococcaceae.
AUAACAACAUUGACAAGAAAAGUAGAUGGAUGAAAGUUUUACAGAGAGACUGUCGUUGGUGCAAGCAGUUAAAUGGCAAUUCAUUGAAAAUGGUCUUCGAGUUGGCUCUUCGAUAUUUAGGUGAGUCCGGGUUCGCCCGUUAAAGCGAGCGAGUAUGAUAGUACUCAUUGAGGUAUUAAUCGUGAGAUUAAUAUAAAUUAAGGUGGUAACACGAGUGAUCUCGUCCUUUUU